RNAcentral lists this long non-coding RNA (2201 nucleotides) under Mus pahari (shrew mouse). Its description in RNAcentral is "lncRNA (MGP_PahariEiJ_G0002698.1)". Lineage: Eukaryota; Metazoa; Chordata; Mammalia; Rodentia; Muridae. The record is from RNAcentral.
AGUUACAAUUCAAAUUCUUCCACAUUAGCCCUGAUAAUUUAGUGAUGGCAUCAGAAACUGGAAAUGCCUGAAUCACAAGGAUGGAGAUUUCAAGGAGCCUGCCAAGUGUUUGAAGAUGAUGGUUGUGCCUCUCACUAGUUUGCUGUCAGCUACUCUCCGAUGAAGUUGGUGGCGCUGUGGAGGAGGACCGCCGCCUCCUGGACGAGGACCGGGAGCGCUCAGCAUUGUAGGAGACAUGCUUGUCAUAGUUCUCCAUCUGUGUCUCAAUGAAGUCCCUUUGCUGUUGUCUGAUGGUCUGGCUGAUCAGCCCAGGGAGGGCGUGAAUGCUACCAAUCAAAGUCUCUAGUUUUGUUUCCAGGGUGACGAUCCUUUUCUCAAAGUCUUCACUCCUUUCGUUUAAGUCGGAAAUCAUGUCAUACAUGAUAUUCUGGGUCUGGAAAAACAAGAAUGAGAAGAUAGAAACAGAGAAGUAAGAGGCUUAGUGACUUUUGCCUCAGAAGCAAACUGUCAACUCUUCAGGCUUCAGCACUGGCCUCUUGCCGUGGACAGGUGUGUCAGCUAACAGAAGAGUUUAGGUCACAAAGCAAAUUCCGUGAAUCUAGACCCCCCUUUAAUCCAUGCAAUUUUAGCGCUGAACUUUAAAUGCAUGAUGACAGACUAGUUGUGAUUUAGAAGAUGGUGUAGUAAAAUGACCAAUGGUUUGAGGUUAGAUGGAAAUGUUACAAUUUAAUAUUUAUGUGUGUUCAUGAUUCUUAUACAAGUUAGCAUAUCAAAUUCAUUUUUCAACAUGUGGCAUUACCACAUGGCCAAUUUUUAUGGUGACGGUAAGAUUUAAGGAAGAAAAAAAGGUAACAGUCAGAUGAUAGCGAGGUGUAAUACCAUAACAGAAGAGUAGGGGUAUAAUGUAGGAUCAAUGGACUUGAUCAGAUAACUUAGUAAUUUAAAGCAAUCAAUACACAUCUUCUGCUGCCUUAUGUUUCAAAUAUCAUAUCUCUUUUUAUUGACUCAAACCCCAAAUUUCAUAGAUUAGAUGUAAAAUAAUAACCCUCAAUAAGAUCAAUAGUGGUGGUGAUUCUAAGUUACUAGUUCAGGGCUGGGGGUAAAACUCAGCGGUUAAACUUUUGUCUAAUAGGCACAAAGCACUGGGUGUGUAUUCUCUGAACCAUGCAAGCAAACAUUUACAGGCCACCUCACUGGGAAUGAUCUAUUUAGAGCCACAUGGUCUGAAGGACGCAUGUGAAAUGCUGUCUUUGUACAGAAAACUGAAGUUGUCUCGAUCAGAGGCAGUCAUGAGUCUGAGUCUUGAUUACAGUUCUUGAAAUAGUUACUUGAGGGGAUUCCAAGGCUCAUCAGCUCAGAGCAAGGGAUGGAAAGGGGUGGCUGAGCAGAAGGGAGAGAUAUGCUCCACCCAGUCUACUGCCACCUUUCCCAAAUCCCAGACCCCCUUGUACUUCAUGUCUUUCUUGUUUCUCUUCCAGCUUCACAGCUGUUUAAAGAUGAUAAAGGAACCUACAGAAGGAGCCAUUUGGAACACAGCCAUUUUGUUUUGGUUGAGCCACAGACCCAGGGAGUACUAAUUUUAGUUUUACUACAUUCUUGGAAAAACUGAGCAAUAUCUGUUCAUUAGAAAGAUACUGAACUCUUAUGGCAUGCUUUCUCUCGUGGUCAGAGUAAAGAUGGUACAUAAACAACUCAAAUAUAUUUUACCUUGAAUAUAUCUUUGAUGUAUCUGAUGUCCAAUUUUCACAGACUAUACUUGAAGAUUUAGCAAAAACAGAAUAUGACUUAUUAAAUAUAAAACAGGAUGCAUAUGACUUAGUGUUGCCUCUGCCAAAGCAAUUGUGCUAAAAGGCAGAACACAUACAUACUUCUAUUCUAGAGUCUCUUUUAGAGCUAGCUGAACAGGAUGUAAUGUUUACACAGUUGAUAAAUAUUCAUAUUUCCAGAGUGGCUGUUACUUAUGGUGGAACAAUAAAAAAAAAGAUAAAUCUUGUAAAUGUGACAAAGAACUAGAAAACUAUUAAUGUACUUGUUAAAAAGAAGUAUGAUUGUUAAAUAACGGAGAAUGCUAGAAAAGUGAGUGAGAGAGAGAGAGAGAGAGAGAACAGAUUUUAGUUUAGAAUAUAAUUUCUGGGAUUCUAAAACAUUCAAUUUAUAUAGGUUUGGGCUUGCUUAAAAAUAUAUAAAAUAGAAUAAGAAUG